RNAcentral lists this ribosomal RNA (501 nucleotides) under uncultured bacterium. RNAcentral describes it as "partial 16S ribosomal RNA". It matches the Rfam family "Bacterial small subunit ribosomal RNA", at positions 30 to 523 of the family's 1533-position model. The record is from RNAcentral.
AUUGAACGCUGGCGGCAGGCUUAACACAUGCAAGUCGAGCGGGGGAAGGUAGCUUGCUACCGGACCUAGCGGCGGACGGGUGAGUAAUGCUUAGGAAUCUGCCUAUUAGUGGGGGACAACAUCUCGAAAGGGAUGCUAAUACCGCAUACGUCCUACGGGAGAAAGCAGGGGAUCUUCGGACCUUGCGCUAAUAGGUGAGCCUAAGUCGGAUUAGCUAGUUGGUGGGGUAAAGGCCUACCAAGGCGACGAUCUGUAGCGGGUCUGAGAGGAUGAACCGCCACACUGGGACUGAGACACGGACCAGACCCCUACGGGAGGCAGCAGGGGGGAAUAUUGGACAAUGGGGGGAACCCUGAUCCAGCCAUGCCGCGUGUGUGAAGAAGGCCUUAUGGUUGUAAAGCACUUUAAGCGAGGAGGAGGCUACUCUAGUUAAUACCUAGGGAUAGUGGACGUUACUCGCAGAAUAAGCACCGGCUAACUCUGUGCCAGCCGCCGCGGUAA